This 330-nucleotide unclassified non-coding RNA is filed under the name soil metagenome. RNAcentral's name for it is "partial contains 5.8S ribosomal RNA, internal transcribed spacer 2, and large subunit ribosomal RNA". The stretch from base 1 to 120 matches the Rfam family "5.8S ribosomal RNA", at positions 35 to 154 of the family's 154-position model. The record is from RNAcentral.
GAUGAAGAACGUAGCGAAAUGCGAUAAGUAAUGUGAAUUGCAGAAUUCAGUGAAUCAUCGAAUCUUUGAACGCACAUUGCGCCCGCUAGUAUUCUGGCGGGCAUGCCUGUUCGAGCGUCAUUUCAACCAUCAAGCCCCAGGCUUGUGUUGGGGGCCUGCGGCUGCCGCAGCCCCUGAAAAGCAGUGGCGGGCUCGCUGUCAUUCCGAGCGCAGUAGUUACAUCUCGCUCCGGGCGUGGCGGUGGGCACCUGCCGUGAAACACUCCUUCUAAGGUUGACCUCGGAUCAGGUAGGAAUACCCGCUGAACUUAAGCAUAUCAUAAGCGGAGGA